Molecule: ribosomal RNA, 500 nt
Filed under: uncultured bacterium
Lineage: Bacteria
Description: partial 16S ribosomal RNA
Rfam family: Bacterial small subunit ribosomal RNA
Source: RNAcentral
AUUGAACGCUGGCGGCAGGCUUAACACAUGCAAGUCGAGCGGGGAAGGUAGCUUGCUACUGGACCUAGCGGCGGACGGAUGAGUAAUGCUUAGGAAUCUGCCUAUUAGUGGGGGACAACAUCUCGAAAGGGAUGCUAAUACCGCAUACGUCAUACGGGAGAAAGCAGGGGACCUUCGGACCUUGCGCUAAUAGAUGAGCCUAAGUCGGAUUAGCUAGUUGGUGGGGUAAAGGACUACCAAGGAGACGAUCUGUAGCGGGUCUGAGAGGAUGAUCCGCCACACUGGGACUGAGACACGGCCCAGACUCCUACGGGAGGCAGCAGUGGGGAAUAUUGGACAAUGGGGGGAACCCUGAUCCAGCCAUGCCGCGUGUGUGAAGAAGGCCUUAUGGUUGUAAAGCACUUUAAGCGAGGAGGAGGCUACUCUAGUUAAUACCUAGUGAUAGUGGACGUUACUCGCAGAAUAAGCACCGGCUAACUCUGUGCCAGCCGCCGCCGUAA